CCAUUCCAGUGAAAUGGUGUUUAACAUCUAGUUUGGGCAGAUAUCUCUCUCUCACCAUGAUUACAACAUUUUGAAGGCCAGCAAAAUGUUUUUUUUUCAUGAAACAUCUGUUUAAUCCUUUCAACAAGUUGUUUUUGAUUGUAGUCUGAGGAUUCCUUUGCCCCUUCCACCCUCCAAGGUUUCCAACACAAUGGCAGCCCGUCAUAACCACAACCACAAUAACACAAUCCCAACACAACAGUCACACUAACCAUUACAAAUGUGAAUCAUGGCAGUCAGAGGAUGUUUUCACUCGGAAACAGUACCGACUGCUGUGUGUUAGAAGAACUGCAACAGAGGAAGACAACCAAUCUAUAUACAGAAAGGAGUAAAGGGAGAAUCUUAGAGUGUUUUGGAGAGUGGUAGAGAAAGAAGGAAUUGGAGAGAAAAGAGGAUGAGGAAGAGAGAGAGUGUGGCUCACUGCCUGUUGACUCACUGAGCAGGAAUGACUUGACUGGUCAUGAUCUGUAUGACUGAGCAGUGCGCAAGCUCUCUCUUUCUCACACACGCUCUCUCUCUCGCACUCUCUCACCACAGACACACUCACCCGCUGAGUGGAGAGCUCCAGGACAGGCUGCUCUCGCAGCACAGCCUCAGGGACUUAGAGGUACUCUGCUGGGGAAGAGAGACAGGCAGGGACCCCCCCCCCCUGGAGCUCACUGGAACUUACUCUGUUUUUCUCUCCCUCUCUUUUUGUCUAUUCCCUCUCACUCAGUCUCUCUCCCCUUUCUCUCCCAUUAUCUCUCUAUUUCUACUCUCUCCUUCCGUCUCUUUCCCUCUCUCCUCUCCUUCUCAGGACGGACACAGGAUGUGAAGAGAGCAGGUGGCUGACAGUCUCACAGCAACAGACCCUUGGCAGGCAGAGAGGUCGCUGAGCUCUGAGAACAACAGUUAGUUGGGUGGGUGAGUAACAUUGUAACAUUCAUGUUUGUUGGGUGAGUUCUAGAAUAGAAGACGAGUAGACUGGUUAGAUGUUGUUACGUAUUUCUUACAGUCAUUUAUUGUUGAUAGAUAAUGAUUGCUGUAAUGAAUUGUGCAUACAAAAUUGUAUAAUUGUCCUAUACUGUCUAAUAUUGUAAUGUGUUAUGUUUUCUUUAUGUUGACGUGACGAGAAUAGUAUCUAAAGAUAUGAUAGUAUUCUUAUAAUGUUGCUGCAGAUCUUCUUCACAGCUCUACUGUUAAGAGGCAGUGUCCAAAGUGUGGAGGAUGAUGUCACACAUCAGCUGUCCUCAUAGCUGGGCUACCAUGGCAACGACAUUCAUCAGAAUGACUUCCUGCAAAAGCAAAGCACUGUCACGAUCACUUUCUGUAAUGACAGAUCACUUUACGAGGAUAAUUAUUGUGUUUGUGUAAGGUUAAGCAUUGAAAUGCGAUGCCAAAUGAGUGGACUGUCUUUGUAAAUCUACUUGUCAUCCAUGUCACAACUGCUGCACAGAGUUUCUAAAUAAGCAAAGUGUCCUCCAAAAUCUUUGCUGCUGCCAUGCAACCACUGCAUCCCUAUUAUCCGGCAGUGAAAGUCUUCCCCCAGAGGCUGGUUUCACAUGGUGGUUUAGAUUAAUGUUCCCAGUGUCUAGCACCAUUUGAAAUCAGUGUUCUUGGGGACAGGAGAACAGCACUGGGCCUCUGGUAGUGUCAGUCAGUCUAUUGGAGCCAAUCCUCUCUCUCUCUUUCCCCUUUAAAGGAUGACUGAUUUCCUCUGGUGUUUAGAGCCCCUUACAGCCUUCUAGCACCAUUUGAAAUCGGUUAUAAUGACUGGGGUUCAAUGCCUCAAUGUCUUCAUGAUGUCUACAUGUCAACUCUACAGUCAAGCAGACAGGAAAUGAAUUGGAUGAAUGUUCAUAUUAUAUGUGUCACAGGGUCUCUGCUCUUCAGAUCCUGGAAUCACAAUGAGUUGGACAGGAGCUCAAUUCCAGUGGGACAGUUUAAAAGUUUUUAUUGAAUAAAUGUUCAAUAAAACUGAAUUGAUAUUGCAACCUUA
This is a long non-coding RNA of Oncorhynchus keta (chum salmon), 2017 nucleotides long. RefSeq lists it as uncharacterized. Lineage: Eukaryota; Metazoa; Chordata; Actinopteri; Salmoniformes; Salmonidae. The transcript is spliced from 2 exons. The record is from RefSeq and is a predicted model, not a curated record.